This 508-nucleotide ribosomal RNA is filed under the name uncultured bacterium. Its description in RNAcentral is "partial 16S ribosomal RNA". It matches the Rfam family "Bacterial small subunit ribosomal RNA", at positions 28 to 523 of the family's 1533-position model. The record is from RNAcentral.
GAUGAACGCCAGCUACAGGCUUAACACAUGCAAGUCGAGGGGAAACGAUAUUGGAAGCUUGCUUCCGAUAGGCGUCGACCGGCGCACGGGUGAGUAACGCGUAUCCAACCUGCCCAUCACUUGGGGAUAACCUUGCGAAAGUAAGACUAAUACCCAAUGAUAUCCGUCGAAGACAUCUGAAGUGGAUUAAAGAUUCAUCGGUGAUGGAUGGGGAUGCGUCUGAUUAGCUUGUUGGCGGGGUAACGGCCCACCAAGGCGACGAUCAGUAGGGGUUCUGAGAGGAAGGUCCCCAACAUUGGAACUGGGACACGGUCCAAACUCCUACGGGAGGCAGCAGUGAGGAAUAUUGGUCAAUGGACGAGAGUCUGAACCAGCCAAGUAGCGUGCAGGAUGACGGCCCUAUGGGUUGUAAACUGCUUUUAUAAGGGAAUAAAGUGAGUCUCGUGAGACUUUUUGCAUGUACCUUAUGAAUAAGGACCGGCUAAUUCCGUGCCAGCCGCCGCCGUAA